Molecule: unclassified non-coding RNA, 214 nt
Filed under: fungal sp.
Lineage: Eukaryota; Fungi
Description: partial internal transcribed spacer region
Rfam family: Eukaryotic small subunit ribosomal RNA (bases 1-46)
Source: RNAcentral
AAGUCGUAACAAGGUUUCCGUAGGUGAACCUGCGGAAGGAUCAUUACAAGAAACGAGGCUACGUGCCCCGCUCUUUACCUUGCCUACUGCACUAUCUGUUGCUUCCUGGCGGUGGUUUGCCUGCCGCCAGGGACAUUGUAAAGCCCUGCAUAAGCAUUGAAAAACUGAAACAAACCGAAUCGUACAACUUUCAACAAUGGAUCUCUUGGUUCUG